AGCGAACGCUGGCGGCAGGCCUAACACAUGCAAGUCGAACGAACUCUUCGGAGUUAGUGGCGGACGGGUGAGUAACACGUGGGAACGUGCCUUUUGGUUCGGAAUAACUCAGGGAAACUUGUGCUAAUACCGAAUGUGCCCUUCGGGGGAAAGAUUUAUCGCCAUUAGAGCGGCCCGCGUCUGAUUAGCUAGUUGGUGAGGUAACGGCUCACCAAGGCGACGAUCAGUAGCUGGUCUGAGAGGAUGACCAGCCACACUGGGACUGAGACACGGCCUAGACUCCUACGGGAGGCAGCAGUGGGGAAUCUUGCGCAAUGGGCGAAAGCCUGACGCAGCCAUGCCCCGUGAAUGAUGAAGGUCUUAGGAUUGUAAAAUUCUUUCACCGGGGACGAUAAUGACGGUACACGGAGAAGAAGCCCCGGCUAACUUCGUG
This 433-nucleotide ribosomal RNA is filed under the name uncultured bacterium. RNAcentral describes it as "partial 16S ribosomal RNA". It matches the Rfam family "Bacterial small subunit ribosomal RNA", at positions 29 to 507 of the family's 1533-position model. The record is from RNAcentral.